This 520-nucleotide ribosomal RNA is filed under the name uncultured Glomus. RNAcentral's name for it is "SSU rRNA". It matches the Rfam family "Eukaryotic small subunit ribosomal RNA", at positions 569 to 1089 of the family's 1831-position model. Lineage: Eukaryota; Fungi; Glomeromycota; Glomeromycetes; Glomerales; Glomeraceae. The record is from RNAcentral.
AGCAGCCGCGGUAAUUCCAGCUCCAAUAGCGUAUAUUAAAGUUGUUGCAGUUAAAAAGCUCGUAGUUGAAUUUCGAGAUCGGCUUACUGGUCGUGCUUUUGUACGUACUGGUAAAUCGGUUUCUCCUUUCUGACGAACUUUAAUGCCAUUAAUUUGGUGUUUUAAGGGAAUCAGGACUGUUACUUUGAAAAAAUUAGAGUGUUUAAAGCAGGCUCACGCUUGAAUACAUUAGCAUGGAAUAACGGAAUAGGACGUUUGAUUUUAUUUUGUUGGUUUCUAGGAUCGACGUAAUGAUUAAUAGGGAUAGUUGGGGGCAUUAGUAUUCAAUUGUCAGAGGUGAAAUUCUUGGAUUUUAUUGAAGACUAACUACUGCGAAAGCAUUUGCCAAGGAUGUUUUCAUUAAUCAAGAACGAAAGUUAGGGGAUCGAAGACGAUCAGAUACCGUCGUAGUCUUAACCAUAAACUAUGCCGACUAGGGAUCGGAUGAUGUUAAUUUUUUCAAUGACUCAUUCGGCGCCUU